This 539-nucleotide long non-coding RNA is filed under the name Vigna radiata. RNAcentral describes it as "long non-coding RNA (VRAD_LNC007083)". The record is from RNAcentral. Lineage: Eukaryota; Viridiplantae; Streptophyta; Magnoliopsida; Fabales; Fabaceae.
CAAAGAAAUCUUUUUACAUCGGUUAAAAAAAGUUUUCUAUAUAAGUUUUAGAAUUGACAUAAAUACAAACGAUAUAGAAAGUUUUCACUUUCUUACAAGUUAUUCCAUAAUCGAUAUAACUUUCAUCAUUUAGGAUUUCUUCUUCUCUGUUACAAACUCCUAUCUUGCUCUCUUCUUAUUCACAUGCGAUGGUCACUUCUCCUCAUCGUCGUCAUGUUCACCUCCACCACCGGCAUCGACGUGGCCCACUCUUCCUCGCAUAAGGGUUCUUCCUCCUUCUAAACAUGAGUUGUUGUCGCUUAGCCUCGUCAAAACUAGCAACUCAUUUGCAUUACUUGAGUUUCUCCCUCUUUACAUAAGAUUUUCCUUCUUCUUCUUCUUCAAACACCCCAAAUCUCCACCAUCACACCAAAUCCUCAAAUCGAAUUGAUUACACCUCUUUAAUUUCCCUAAAAUAAAUCGAUGAACAAAAUACAUCAAAAAAUAAUUAAGGAAUCAUGUGCACCUACCUACAUGCAUUUAUCCAUGUUGAUUUGUCU